GGAAAAUCUUUCUUUACUGGAUGGAGGAAAUACUUGAGACUGAAUGUCAGAACACAAGAUGAUAAAUAAGAAAAGGAGACUGAAGGAAUCUAAGAGAGGAACCCACCAAAUCACAGUGCAGUGGUACCUGCAAACAAAGAUGGAUAGAAGAAUCCAGAAGGCAUAUUUAAAGCAAAUUUAAUCAGACACAAUCUGCUGGGAACCUCAUUCUUUAACAUUAAGAAGAAAAAGGAAAACAGGGGAGGUUCUUCAGUCCUGUGAUCAUCUUCAUGGCCAUCCUCCAGACCCUCUCCAGCAACUCCUCCUCCUUCUUGUACUGGGGAUCCCAGGCCUGGAUGCAGUACCCCGGAUGGGGCCUCACAAAGAGCAGAAGGGGACAAUCCCCUUCCCCACCCUGUUGCACCUCUUUUUUGAUGCAGCCAGGAUACAGUUGGCCUUCCAGGCUGCAAGUACACCCUGCUGGCUCAUGUCCAGCGCUUUGUCCACUAAAACCCCUAAGACCUUCUCAAGGCUGCUCUCAAGUUCUCUCCUAGUCUGUAUACAUAUGUGGGAUUGCCCUGACCCAAGAGUUACACCCUGCACUUGGCCUGGUGAACUUCACUGGAUUCAGUGGUGGGCUCACUUUUCAAGCUUUCCAGGUCCCUUUGAAUAGUAUCCCUUCUUUCUGUUGUAUCAACAGUACCACUCAGCUUAAUGUCUUCAGUAAACUUGCUGAGGGUGCACUCAAUCUCACUCUCUAGGUCAUUGAUAAAAGAUGUUGAAGAAGCACUGGUCCCAGGAUGGAUCCCUGGGAGCACCACUAGUCAGUGUCCUCUACCUGAACAUUGAUCCAUUGACAACAACACUCUGGCUUUGACCAUUCAACCAAUUCCUUAUCCACUGAAUAGUUCACCCUUAAAAUCCAUAUCUUUCCAAUUUAGAGAUAAGAAUGUGUUGUGUGAUCAUAUUAAAGACCUCGCAGAAGUCUGG
Molecule: long non-coding RNA, 969 nt
Organism: Gallus gallus (chicken)
Lineage: Eukaryota; Metazoa; Chordata; Aves; Galliformes; Phasianidae
Source: Ensembl